AUACAACACAUUACAAGAUCAACAACAUUGUGAGGGAAAAUCAGAGCACGUAUUUGACAGAAGAACCGGUAUUCCUGGUACUAAUCCAGAAAAGCAGUUUUUCAUCCAAGUUCUGUUUCAGGGCAAAAUCCAGGACAAUCCCCAAAAGAAGACAGCCCCAAGCAAGCUGGGAUGACUACUCAACCUGCAAAGAAGGAGAAUUCAUUUGCUUUGGAAAUGAAGGGGAAAAAAGAGUUAAAGAGAGGAGAGCAGAAUAGAGAGCCGUGAGAUGGAAGGAGCUUAAGGACCCUUGUAAUGAAGUUGGAAUCACUCAGAUAAUACAAGAAAAUCUGGCUCCAGUGUCAUCUUCGGUUAUUAAGAAUCACAGAAACUAGUUUCAAAUCUGGACCAGAUACUCAUUAGCUGUAUA
Molecule: long non-coding RNA, 409 nt
Organism: Talpa occidentalis (Iberian mole)
Lineage: Eukaryota; Metazoa; Chordata; Mammalia; Eulipotyphla; Talpidae
Exons: 3
Source: RefSeq, a predicted model, not a curated record